RNAcentral lists this ribosomal RNA (253 nucleotides) under uncultured bacterium. Its description in RNAcentral is "partial 16S ribosomal RNA". It matches the Rfam family "Bacterial small subunit ribosomal RNA", at positions 524 to 776 of the family's 1533-position model. The record is from RNAcentral.
GACGUAGGGCGCGAGCGUUGUCCGGAUUUAUUGGGCGUAAAGAGCUCGUAGGCGGCUUGUCGCGUCGAAUGUGAAAACUCGGGGCUCAACUCCGAGCUUGCAUUCGAUACGGGCAGGCUAGAGUUCGGUAGGGGAGACUGGAAUUCCUGGUGUAGCGGUGAAAUGCGCAGAUAUCAGGAGGAACACCGGUGGCGAAGGCGGGUCUCUGGGCCGGUACUGACGCUGAGGAGCGAAAGCGUGGGGAGCGAACAGG